RNAcentral lists this ribosomal RNA (309 nucleotides) under uncultured Rhodocyclaceae bacterium. Its description in RNAcentral is "bacterial SSU rRNA". It matches the Rfam family "Bacterial small subunit ribosomal RNA", at positions 1072 to 1382 of the family's 1533-position model. Lineage: Bacteria; Pseudomonadati; Pseudomonadota; Betaproteobacteria; Rhodocyclales; Rhodocyclaceae. The record is from RNAcentral.
AUGUUGGGUUAAGUCCCGCAACGAGCGCAACCCUUGUCAUUAGUUGCCAUCAUUCAGUUGGGCACUCUAAUGAGACUGCCGGUGACAAACCGGAGGAAGGUGGGGAUGACGUCAAGUCCUCAUGGCCCUUAUAGGUGGGGCUACACACGUCAUACAAUGGCCGGUACAGAGGGUAGCCAACCCGCGAGGGGGAGCCAAUCCCACAAAGCCGGUCGUAGUCCGGAUCGCAGUCUGCAACUCGACUGCGUGAAGUCGGAAUCGCUAGUAAUCGCGGAUCAGCAUGUCGCGGUGAAUACGUUCCCGGGUCUU